This 383-nucleotide long non-coding RNA is filed under the name Ananas comosus (pineapple). Its description in RNAcentral is "long non-coding RNA (ACOM_LNC043136)". The record is from RNAcentral. Lineage: Eukaryota; Viridiplantae; Streptophyta; Magnoliopsida; Poales; Bromeliaceae.
UUAGAAUUAACGAUAUUAUCAUGCUAUCGUCUAUUUAGCUUUCUUUUGUAUGUCAAUUUUAGUCCCUAAAUUUUAUUUUUCACUUUAGUCUCCAAAAAUAAAAAUUUGAAAAUUUGAAUUUAAAUCCAGAAUUAAUCUUAAAAUUAAUUCGAAAACUUAUGAGUACAAAGAGAUCUAUACUUAUAAGAGUAUAGUAGUUGAAAACAACUUGAUAGCACGGAGGCCUCCAUGCUACUGAUUGUAUACCAGCCUAGCUCUGUGUGUGUGUGUGUGUGUGUGUGUGUGUGUUGAUUUUAAUUAUAAUAAUUUGCUGUAAUAAUACCUUAGCGCCACAUCGUGCGGGACCUUAACUAGUUAUACUAAAUUAUGAUGACAAGAUACAU